GAUGAACGCUGGCGGCGUGCCUAAUACAUGCAAGUCGAGCGAACAGACGAGGAGCUUGCUCCUCUGACGUUAGCGGCGGACGGGUGAGGAACACGUGGAUAACCUACCUAUAAGACUGGGAUAACUUCGGGAAACCGGAGCUAAUACCGGAUAAUAUAUUGAACCGCAUGGUUCAAUAGUGAAAGACGGUUUUGCUGUCACUUAUAGAUGGAUCCGCGCCGCAUUAGCUAGUUGGUAAGGUAACGGCUUACCAAGGCAACGAUGCGUAGCCGACCUGAGAGGGUGAUCGGCCACACUGGAACUGAGACACGGUCCAGACUCCUACGGGAGGCAGCAGUAGGGAAUCUUCCGCAAUGGGCGAAAGCCUGACGGAGCCACGCCGCGUGAGUGAUGAAGGUCUUCGGAUCGUAAAACUCUGUUAUUAGGGAAGAACAAAUGUGUAAGUAACUAUGCACGUCUUGACGGUACCUAAUCAGAAAGCCCCGGCUAACUACGUG
RNAcentral lists this ribosomal RNA (497 nucleotides) under uncultured bacterium. RNAcentral's name for it is "partial 16S ribosomal RNA". It matches the Rfam family "Bacterial small subunit ribosomal RNA", at positions 28 to 507 of the family's 1533-position model. The record is from RNAcentral.